Molecule: long non-coding RNA, 1484 nt
Filed under: Ceratitis capitata (Mediterranean fruit fly)
Lineage: Eukaryota; Metazoa; Arthropoda; Insecta; Diptera; Tephritidae
Description: uncharacterized LOC110118904, transcript variant X1
Source: RNAcentral
CUUUGCACGGAAGCGACUAAGUGGUUGUGACAUUUACUACAGCGAUCAUAUGAAGGAGCGCAAAUUUUGGUGUCGAAUCCGUGUUGGGAGAGAGACUUGAUUUGCACCGACGCCCCAACGGAAGAGAUGGACGAUGUGACAAAAGAUGCCUGUUAUAAAAAAAAAAAAAAAACGAACUCAAGGCACGGUUGUUGAUCCCAAUGGUGAUAUUGACAUCGGCACUGACAUUGACAUCAUAAUAUUUUCUUCAGCAAUAAAUUAAAGAAGUCACACGAUAAGCAUCACGUUGUUUGAAAGCUCAUUUGAUAACGAACCACUUCGAGAAGUCUUUAUUGGUCCUGUCGUAGCUUUUGGUGCUAUUUAUCUGCAGUUUACUCAGCCGCAUAAGUAAAUUUUUCGGCGAUACCAAAUUCAGACAAAGCCUCGCAGAGCCCGCUUUUUCAUGCUAUCGAAGGCUGCUUUAAAUUCGACGAAGAGGUGAUGUGUUUCAAUGAUCCGUUCACGUGCUUUUUUCCAAGAUUCUUCGCAUGGUGAAUAUGUGGUUAAUUUCUUUCACAAAUAUAAUAAAUGAGGCUCUCUCAUAUGUGAUAUUGAGCAGGCUAAGCUCACAGUAAUUGGCGCAGACUGCUUGUGUUGAUAUGAGAAUUAUUAUUUAAUCCUAAAGUGAAAUGCCAUAAAUUUGAUAAGGGUUUCGGCUUGACGGAUGAUAGCUCUUCUUUCUCGUUGAAUUUCACUUUAAAUUGGCUUGUACCGUCAGACGAAUAUUUGGAGACCCAUGUGCUAACAACUUUAUCGGACUUCAUCAUGUGACUGUUAUUGGUUUAUUUUUUUGGUAUUUUCUUCUCCGGAUUAAUCUCAAUUUUUGCCUUUCUAGCAUAAAGUCGGUAUUGCACGCCAAUGGACGCUACAUUCAGUUUUCUUUCAAGGCGUAAACUGCGAAUCGAUGAAUUUAACCUACUGCCCCUUCAAGUGGCUACAUACAUAUUUACUAAUACAACAAAAAUAUUCUCCAUUUUUGACAUUGGCUAACCGAUAAACCAGCUGAAAAUUAUAUCAAUUCAACUGUGAUGGACCGAGAGGCAAGCGCCAGCACUCAGCUCCCUCCACCCACAAAAGUGUGACCAACAACAAGCAGUUACACUGGUGAUUCAUGCCGGCAGCAGAGCUAAUGAAAGAAAUAUGUAUGUAUUUGUAUACAAUAUAAUUAUCGAAAUCAACAAAUUAGAAGCUACGGACCCUUGUGCUGAGCGAUAAUUGAGAAUGAGAGUGCGAGAGUCAGCGCAGCUGAUACCGAUGAGAGAUAAAAAUUAUAAAUAUAUACGCGUAUAAAAAAUUAUUUAGACACCAGCCUAUUGCGAUUAAGUGUUCGAAGAGAAAGAGGAGAAUCAUCUUCGAAAUCGAAAGAAACAUAAAAGAAUAUUUGCAACCAUAACAGAUUAAAAAAUUAAUAUGUAAUUGUCUAUAUUUCCAGUUAAAUACAAACA